Non-coding RNA from Lactuca sativa (garden lettuce), 2352 nucleotides. NCBI's taxonomy places the organism in Eukaryota, Viridiplantae, Streptophyta, Magnoliopsida, Asterales, Asteraceae. The record is from RefSeq and is a predicted model, not a curated record.
UGAGGAUAGGGAUGGAGCCACAAGAACUUUAUCUAGAUCCAUAGACCUUGUCAAUCUCACUGGACCUUCACCAGUUACCUGUGCCACAUCACCAUUUGUAGUGUGUAUUUUUUUGUUGUUUUGGAACAUGUGAAGUGGCUAACUUAGACAAAUCGUUAACCAUGUGAUCAGUGGCCCCUGUAUCUAUAAUCCAAGUAUCAUUCUUUGUAAAAUUAUGUAGGUACAUACCAGUGGAUGUGUGAGCAGCAAUUGGGAUAUUCAUUUCAUUGGCAGUGGUUAUAGUGGCUAUCAUAGCUCGACUGAUUUUCUUCCUUGGCUUCUUUGUAAAGUCCCACCAAUCUGGGUAACCGAUAAUCUCGUAGCAUUUGAGUUUAGAAUGUCCAUCUUCAGCAUAGUGGGUACAUGAGAAUGUGUUUUUGUUGUUCGAGGUUCUUCCUUUUUUAGGCCGAUUUCGAGUAGCCAUAUGAACCAUACCAUCAGGUUCAGUACUUCACUUCGUGCCUGGUUGAAUUCUGAGUCUAAUCCUGCCAGAAAAAUAUGGACCCAGAAUCGUGACAUGGCUUUAUUUGCAGAGACAGCUUCAUCCACAAUUUCUUUCUGAGUAGUUAAACGAGCAUCAAUUUCUUGAAAGAUGCUUAUGAGUUCGUUGUUGUAUGUUGCCAAGGAUGUCCAGUUUGCCACGUGUUGAAUGAUUUCCUGUUCAAUUCAAACAAUUGAGUUUCAUCAGACCUAUCGUAAAAAGUUUGGGAUACAGCUUCCCAAAUUUCUGCUGCAAUCUGGAGGCGUAUGAAUCGGUGAAUGAGUGAUGGGGACAUCGAAUCAAUCAACUAGCUUUUGACUUUGUUAUUUUCGAUCAGCCAGGUUUCAAUCUCCUUUUCUCCUUCUGUGGGUUUCGUUGUUUUGCCCGUGAUGUAGCCAGAUUUGUUUCGAGCUCCAAUUCUCAUCUCCAUUAAUUGCGACCAUAGGUGAAAAUUCGAGUAAUCGAGAAUAACUCCUCCAGUGGGAAACGGUGCAUCAGUGUGAACGAUGACUUGAGGAGAGUUUGAAGUUCCUGCUUUGUCACUCAUAUUCUACGAAUUCGAUAUGGUUUCGAGGGUUUCAAUAGAUUGUUUGAAUGGAUUAGGUAUGCUCUGAUACCAUGUGAAAAAAGAAUACGAGAGAUUGGUGGAAGAGUUUUCCGUUUUUCAUAUAUUCUAAUUAAGUUAUAGGAGAACAUAUUUAUACAAGAGAUUUCUACCAAACUAUCAAUUACUUAGCCAUAACUCAAGGAUGUGAGACAACGACAACAACAAUUAUCUACACAUGUAUUACUUAUCUUCUCCUAUAAUUGCUCUCGCCAACAGCUAUAACAGGUAAGUGUUUAUGGUGGGUGUUUAGAGGUCCGAUGAAGGUUACGAUGAUGGUGAUAUAAGUGUUGACUGGUGGUUUAUAAUGAAACAAAAGGUGUUAAAGGGUGGUUAGUUCAGUAAACAAGGUUGAUAUAAGGUGGGUAAAAUGGAGGUAUAAGGUGUUGAGGUUUAUGAGGAAGACGAUGAAUAGUACUGGGUGUUACAUUUUCUUAAUGCAGGAGGUUUUAAGGUGGUUUGAUGGAAGUGGUUUACGUGUUCUUGGUGAUAACAGGUAAAGUCUUUGUGGGUUUGAAGUAAUAUAAGGUGUAAGGUGGUUGUGAUGAGGUUUUAAGAAGAAGAUGAUGAAUAGUACUGGUUGUUCAAUUUGUUUGUUCCAAAAACCAUCAUUAUCGAGACCUUAAGCCAUUUGCUGCUCCGUUUUCAAUUUCCAACAUCCACCAUUGAGAUUGAAAGAAGAAGAAUCAAGAAGUAAGGACAAUGUUCAUCGUCCAAUCGAGAACCUGCAACCGAACAAAAAAUCUCGAUUUUUUUUUUGAGUUUUUUCCUUCAAUGUUUUGUAUCUACUUCCAUCGCUAAAAAUAUGUGUUUAUCGAUAGCCUCAAAGAAAAAACACAGUUUGAAUUUUUCUUGUUCUCCUUUUCUUGAUUCUCGAUGAAGGUGGUGGUGGUUUGUUUUAGAUGGCAGAAGGUGGUAGAGACGGUGGCUUCGAUGGCAGCAAUAUGUGGGUUCAAUGGUGGUGAACCGGUGGUGAGGUGGGUACGGUUUUAAUGGUGAUGGCAAGUUCGAUCGGUAGAGAUGGAACAGGUCUCGGGUCUCGGCUGUGAAGACAAAGCAGCAGGUGAAGAUCUUGGGUUGGAUUGAAACGAAGAAGGCAAUAGAAAUAAGUUUACUUGUUUAUUUUUCUUUCUUUUGUUCUGGUUAGUUGCAGGUCUAGACAAAGAUGAUGAUGAACAGUUAUAGUUCUACAUAUUAAAUUAAUCAAAAUGGAAUAGUGAAAAAAAUA